UUCCCAUGCAGAGAGAGCAAGAGCUGGGGAUGUUGAUGGACCCUGGGUAGAGCCUGGGAUGUUCCAAGAUCUGCCCUGUACAUCUGCCCUGUACCAUUCCCCUAUGGCAGGGGAAGCGGUGUGAUUGUCAUGAGACAGGCUAUAGCCUGUACAUCAGCAACAGUGUGGGAUGGUUCCAGAAGGGAGAGCACAGUGGUGCUGGUUUGAGACACAGAAAGGUGCCUGCUCAGCAAGAACAAAGAGGAAGAAAAAGGACUCGGGUGUGGAGGUGUGCCAGGUCUUGGCCCCACUAAGAAAAACCCCUUUUGCCUCAAGGUGCAGGUGCUGGUGAGACCACCACUGAUAUCCAGAGCUCCACAGGUGAGGACAAGCAUGAGGGUAUGCCGGUUGCAUGGGCACGUCCUUCUCCCUGCCCCUCCCCAUCACACCCCUCUGCCCUCACACCUUCUGUCUCCCGGCUCAUCAUGCCUGGCUCCCGCACACCCUCCCCACAGCCAUGGUGCUUGCAGUGGUGCCUAUAAUCCUCAUCCUCCUGGCUGCAGGCAGCUGGUUUGCCAUCAGGAAAUGUGAGGGAGAGGGGGAAGGUGGGGGGAAGGCUGAGGCCAUGUGGAUACUGCUGCGGGCCUGGUGCAGAGGGAAAGGCAUUGGGGGGAUCCUGGGGGUGCACAGCUGGGGCAGACGGUGCCUGGGGGUGAUGGCUGUGGGCAGACCAGCUGGGGAGGCUGCUGAGGGAGCUGGGGACCUUCAGCCUUCAUCCCCGAGCCCCGAGAUGGGAGCCAGGGCUGGGCUGCACCUUGGCCUGUGCAUCCCAGCCCCUGUUCUUCUUGCAGGUGCCUGCAGAGGGAGAUGCCCAAGGAAAGCAACACCAAAGGGCAUAAGCUUCAUGACCCCUCCUCAGCACAUGCACAUCCCAGAACCAUUCCAUUCCUCUCCAGGCAGCAACAAGUUGACAGCCCGCAGACGGAAGACGCCAGCUAUGGUGACAUCCAGUGUGAGUACUACCUCCUCCCUUGGGGGAAGCCACAUGCUCCUCUUCCCAUGAGAAUCCUGUGCGAGCCCCCAUGCAAUCCCACCCCUUCAUUUCCCACUGGGACAUACAAAAUCCCUGCCCGUUCAUCAAGGCCAGGUUUCUCUCCAGCACCUCAUGUCCCGCUUCUUCCUUGAAUGCUGAUCGUGGCUGCUGGCUGCACAAGGGACAUGGCAGCAUCCCA
This 1211-nucleotide long non-coding RNA is filed under the name Anas platyrhynchos platyrhynchos (common mallard). RNAcentral's name for it is "lncRNA (ENSAPLG00000022714.1)". Lineage: Eukaryota; Metazoa; Chordata; Aves; Anseriformes; Anatidae. The record is from RNAcentral.